Molecule: ribosomal RNA, 484 nt
Filed under: uncultured bacterium
Lineage: Bacteria
Description: partial 16S ribosomal RNA
Rfam family: Bacterial small subunit ribosomal RNA
Source: RNAcentral
GACGAACGCUGGCGGCGUGCUUAACACAUGCAAGUCGAACGAUGAAGCUGGAGCUUGCUCUGGCGGAUUAGUGGCGAACGGGUGAGUAACACGUGAGAAAUCUGCCCUUGACUCUGGGAUAACUGCGGGAAACUGUAGCUAAUACCGGAUACUUUCCCUGGUGGGCAUCCACUGGGGAAGAAAGAAUUUCGGUCAAGGAUGAUCUCGCGGCCUAUCAGCUUGUUGGGGAGGUAAUGGCUCAACAAGGCGACGACGGGUAGCCGGCCUGGGAGGGUGACCGGCCACACUGGGACUGAGACACGGCCCAGACUCCUACGGGAGGCAGCAGUGGGGAAUAUUGCACAAUGGGCGCAAGCCUGAUGCAGCAACGCCGCGUGAGGGAUGAAGGCCUUCGGGUUGUAAACCUCUUUUAGCAGGGAAGAAGCGAAAGUGACGGUACCUGCAGAAAAAGCACCGGCUAACUACGUGCCAGCAGCCGCCGUAA